CCUAGAGCAGUUUUUUCUAGGUACCAAUACAAACCUCAUCACAGUAGUAGCUGUGGCUUAUCCUUUUGCAACACCUGUCAAGGUGUAGAAAGGAAAAGCAGCUUUCUCCUUCAAUGAACAGGUGGAACUGAAGCACGGGUUACAUUCAAACUCAAAUCACAUGGGAACUUGUUAUAGAAACAGGAAUUGAGCCUACAUCUCUUCAGUCUGCAUAUUACUUUAUUUUCUGAAAGUAGACUUCAGCUCACCUGAGUUUAGACAAAAGACUAGAGAGCUUAGCCUCAGUGGUGAAUAAAUGAUGGAAGGAGUCAUUUCUCCUGACAUCUAAAUCACCAUCACUGGAGGAGCAUUCAUCUCUCCACUGAUUAUACAAAGAACCUCAAUCAGAUGCUUGAAAUUAAGUUAUGUUGCGGCAAAGCUGUUGUGGUGUACAGCAGUGUUGCCAAGGGCAGCCUACACCUUCAGCAGCAGUACCACUGAAGCUGUCCCCACUUCCAGCACCUCAAUGCCACUCCUGUGCCAGGGAUAACAAAGGUAUGGCUUUAUAUGCAGCAAUAUACUACCUGGAUAAGGCUCCGGUACAGCUGAUACCUGCAAUUUUAAUGUGGGAUCAGUUGCACCUUCUGGUUUGCCAUGUUACCUUACAAAUGUUAUGUCAGUUCAGGUGUUGGAGAUGAGAAUUAUGGAGCAGUAUUUCUCCAUUUCCAGACAGUAAAGAAAUUACUGCUCCCAGCCACCUAUCUAAUGUUUCUAGUGGAUAUUUCUGCAUUUACCCAGGCUUAUGAUUUUUUUUUUUUGUAAUUUUUUUCCAUCUAGUGGCAGUAUUACCCAGUAUAUUCAGACCAACCAAGGCUGAUGUGCAUCUAUUUUAGUAGGCCAAAAUGGUGCUUCAGGAGCUCAACUGUAAGGGGAUCAGAUGGCUGUGUUAUGAGGAUAUCAGCAUACAUUGGUGUAAAGUGGACUGUUGUGAACAGAAAUAGUCCUGACCAUCCCUGUUACAUUCACUCCCCAAUGUCUGUCCUCAUUCUUGAAGAGGAAUCAUGGCUUCUUCUUAACUGUGGUCAUGAUACGGCUUUCAAAUAACACUACUUGGCUAGGACGUGAAACAUGGCUGGGAUGUGCCAGCUUUCCUUUAACAGAGGGAUUGUAUGGACACAUGAAAACGUGGAUGGCCAUUGCAAAAUUGAGUUAAAUGUAGUUUUGGAGUUUCUUUAUACUCAAAGUUUCACCUGCCAAGGUUGGGCUUUGACAGUCACAUUUUCCUAUUUUUAAUAUAUUUUUCUCUCCCCUGCUGCUGUGUGAAGCCACACAAAC
Molecule: long non-coding RNA, 1314 nt
Filed under: Anser cygnoides (Swan goose)
Lineage: Eukaryota; Metazoa; Chordata; Aves; Anseriformes; Anatidae
Description: lncRNA (ENSACDG00005011082.1)
Source: RNAcentral